Molecule: non-coding RNA, 139 nt
Filed under: bovine gut metagenome
Description: glmS glucosamine-6-phosphate activated ribozyme
Rfam family: glmS glucosamine-6-phosphate activated ribozyme aptamer
About the family: This entry contains a glucosamine-6-phosphate activated ribozyme that is found in the mRNA for GlmS. GlmS is an enzyme that uses fructose-6-phosphate and glutamine to generate glucosamine-6-phosphate. The ribozyme catalyses self cleavage of the glmS mRNA that is thought to regulate GlmS activity.
Source: RNAcentral
AGCAUAGCGCCGGGACCGCAAUACCUCUUGGCGGUCGACGAGGAGAAGGUCAUCGAAAGAUUCGGCGGAUACCUUCCGUUCGGCGGCGAGCGUAAGAUAACGGUCAAAAACCGCGGGCGACCGCUAAACAAAGCCGUUA